UACGUAGGGUGCAAGCGUUGUCCGGAAUUAUUGGGCGUAAAGAGCUCGUAGGCGGUUUGUCGCGUCGAAUGUGAAAACCCGGGGCUCAACCCCGGGCCUGCAUUCGAUACGGGCAGACUAGAGUUCGGUAGGGGAGUCUGGAAUUCCUGGUGUAGCGGUGAAAUGCGCAGAUAUCAGGAGGAACACCGGUGGCGAAGGCAGCAUCCUGGACCGGUAUUGACACUGAGGCGCGAAAGCCAGGGGAGCAAACGGG
RNAcentral lists this ribosomal RNA (253 nucleotides) under uncultured bacterium. Its description in RNAcentral is "partial 16S ribosomal RNA". It matches the Rfam family "Bacterial small subunit ribosomal RNA", at positions 524 to 776 of the family's 1533-position model. The record is from RNAcentral.